This 496-nucleotide unclassified non-coding RNA is filed under the name Hevea brasiliensis (rubber tree). Lineage: Eukaryota; Viridiplantae; Streptophyta; Magnoliopsida; Malpighiales; Euphorbiaceae. The record is from RNAcentral.
AAAUUGAGGAUUGUACUCAAAAACUGAUCAUAAUUACGCACAAAAAAAAUAAUUAGUCGAAUGUUUUAGAUACAUAACCCUUAAUUAAUACAAAUAAAUUCUAAUUCAAAAUAAAUUCAAACAAAUAUUAUUAAUUAAAGUAUUAUUAAUUCACUUAUUGAAUUCACUAUCUAUACUUAUUUUCACCGGUAAUUAUUACCUACACACUGAGAUACCUACACCCAACCAAUUAACAAUUGUUAUUUUGAUUAAAAUAAUGAUAGAUUUCUUUCUAUUUUCUUUCAAUUCUCUAUUUUACCUUUAAAUUGAAGAAAAAAAAAUAAGAAAAAGUAAAUAAAAAUAUCAAAUUGUCGUUUUUUUCUAUUUUCUUCUUUCGUUACUUCUUUUUUUUCUCCAAGUAAAUGUUUAUGAUUUUAAAGUUGUUUAGUUUAGUUACUUAUCUUUAACUUUUAAUUCAAAUAAUAUUUUUAAUUUACAAAUCAAAUUAAAAAUAAAU